AGAUAUAGAGUGUGAGAGAGAAGAGUGGAGGCUGGUUCUCAGGCUCCAGAAGCAUAAGCCUGCAUGGAGCAUAGCGUCACUGAGCAAGACAGGUGUGGAGGAUGAGAAGCGGGCCACAGGAUGGGAAGGGAAUCUGUGUGGAGGCGGUGCCCUAAACAUGCUGCCUUGAGGAGGGACCUCUACAUGGGGUGGCCGGGCACAGCCAGCUUCAACUUCGAGAAUAAUUUGAAUGUUUUCAGCAUAAAGAAAAGAUAAAUGUUUAAGGCUACCCAUGGGGACCUCAACAGCUUUGCCAUUGCACACUAUCUUUGCAGACAAGAUCUUAAUCACAUCCAACUUUCUGCAGUUGCACAGGGUACCUCAGACCCACAUCCCAGAUGACAUUCCUCAGAAGCUCGCAGCUGGAGAUGACAUCACCUUAGACAACAUCACCCUAGCCCAAGACAUCGCUAUUAGAGAUACAUCACCUGGACACUAAAGCCUCCAACCCAGUGACACUCUCAAGGUGCUGACAAAAUGGACAUGGACAUUUGUUGCUUUUCUUCUUUUGAAUUAGGAACUCUAUUGUGUUUCCUGAAUUUACUGUCUGCUUGGCCCAUGAUCCUGGUAUGUUCCUUGCUCUCUGCCAAAACAUGCACCGUCCCCUCCACACCUAAAGGAAAACCUGGUAGAAGCUACUACUCUCAAUGCCAUUCUAAAAUUGACGAAGAGUAUUAUUUUCCCCAAGAGGCAGCUGCUGCAGGCCAGUGAAUCCUCUGGACCCUGGGGAGAGGGUCAUACACUCCCUAGUGACUUCUACUGUAUGCUCCAGCUUUCCACCAGGACCUCCUGCCCUGUCCCCAACUGUAACGACCACAACCACCCCAUCCCCUUGGUUACACACAAAUAUCACCAGUCUUUACAUGUACUUUACUGACUUCUCAGAUAAUACCCUCCAACAAGAUAACUGCAGGACUUGCCACCAUGACCUGAGAAAUACACCAAGAUAUUAUUGUCCAAUUUUUUUGAGAUAUAUAUAUAUUUCUCAUACUUUUAACAUACUCUGCAAUCCACCAAGAUAUUGGUAGAGACCCUGGAAAUUUCAAAUCUAUUUCGUCUGCUAAUGCCAUGUGAAUGGGAAACUUAGAUACAGGCUGGCCUACAAGGACUCCUUAUACUUCAAUUUUUGUUCCUCCUUUCAACUCUCAUAAAAAAUAUUUUCUGUACUAUUUAGGGCAAAUGAUGGCCUUCUUUCUAAGUCUCAUCCAUCAUUGCUGCAAAGGUGCCUUAGUUUGAUGUUAAAGUGUCACAGGGCCAAUGUAUUGACCAUGUUUCUGGCGUCUAUAAAGUCGAUGUUUUAAUAUC
Molecule: long non-coding RNA, 1344 nt
Organism: Homo sapiens (human)
Lineage: Eukaryota; Metazoa; Chordata; Mammalia; Primates; Hominidae
Gene: LYRM4-AS1
Product: LYRM4 antisense RNA 1
Source: Ensembl